CAACUCGACUACAUGAAGCUGGAAUCGCUAGUAAUCGCGAAUCAGAAUGUCGCGGUGAAUACGUUCCCGGGUCUUGUACACACCGCCCGUCACACCAUGGGAGUCAGUAACGCCCGAAGUCAGUGACCCAACCUUAUGGAGGGAGCUGCCGAAGGCGGGACCGAUAACUGGGGUGAAGUCGUAACAAGGUACC
This 193-nucleotide ribosomal RNA is filed under the name uncultured bacterium. RNAcentral's name for it is "partial 16S ribosomal RNA". It matches the Rfam family "Bacterial small subunit ribosomal RNA", at positions 1308 to 1500 of the family's 1533-position model. The record is from RNAcentral.